This 243-nucleotide ribosomal RNA is filed under the name Triticum aestivum (bread wheat). RNAcentral describes it as "partial small subunit ribosomal RNA". Lineage: Eukaryota; Viridiplantae; Streptophyta; Magnoliopsida; Poales; Poaceae. The record is from RNAcentral.
AUGACGAAGCCGAAGAGAGGAGGCGGUAUUGGAUUCAGAGAUAUGCACAUGUUCAACCAAGCUUUGUUGGCAAGGCAGGGAUGGAGAUUGAUUCAAAAACCAGAGAGUCUGUGUGCGAGAGUGCUCAAAUCCAAGUAUUACCCCAACGGAGAAUUGAUGGAUACAGUGUUCGCAUCGGACGCCUCGCAAUCAUGGAGAGGAAUCGAAUUCGGCCUGGAGCUACUAAAGAAAGGGCUUAUAUGA